GAUUGGCCUCCGGGCCGUUUUCGAACACACACACACACCGUGAACCGUUCCGUCGUCCUUCGGGGCGGUGGCUUACCACCACAAACAAUGUAUACCAGAACGUGAAAUGUCGUAAACAAACAAAACUUUCAACAACGGAUCUCUUGGCUCU
RNAcentral lists this unclassified non-coding RNA (151 nucleotides) under rhizosphere metagenome. RNAcentral's name for it is "partial ribosomal RNA internal transcribed spacer region". The record is from RNAcentral.